AUACUUACCUGGCGUAGAAGUAUUGCUGAUCAAGAAGGGCAAUCUUCCUAUCUGAGGCCUAGUCAUUGCACUACGAUUGGGCUGACGGUGGCGAUUGAGUCUUAUGCAUUCAACUCGUGCGUAAUAUUUUUGAUAGCCGGGAUAAGCGUUCGCGCUAUCCCGAA
Molecule: small nuclear RNA, 164 nt
Filed under: Mayetiola destructor (Hessian fly)
Lineage: Eukaryota; Metazoa; Arthropoda; Insecta; Diptera; Cecidomyiidae
Description: U1 spliceosomal RNA
Rfam family: U1 spliceosomal RNA
About the family: U1 is a small nuclear RNA (snRNA) component of the spliceosome (involved in pre-mRNA splicing).
Source: RNAcentral